Molecule: ribosomal RNA, 102 nt
Filed under: Pogona vitticeps (central bearded dragon)
Lineage: Eukaryota; Metazoa; Chordata; Lepidosauria; Squamata; Agamidae
Source: RNAcentral
UCAUAUGCAUCUGAAUAUAGCCAACCUCGUCUGACUUCAGAAGCUAAGCAGGGUCCACUCUGGUUAGUACAUGGAUGGGAGACCACAACUGCAUACCAGGGA